RNAcentral lists this ribosomal RNA (253 nucleotides) under uncultured bacterium. Its description in RNAcentral is "partial 16S ribosomal RNA". It matches the Rfam family "Bacterial small subunit ribosomal RNA", at positions 524 to 776 of the family's 1533-position model. The record is from RNAcentral.
UACAGAGGGUGCAAGCGUUAAUCGGAAUUACUGGGCGUAAAGCGUGCGCAGGCGGUUAUGUAAGACAGAUGUGAAAUGCCCGGGCUCAACCUGGGAACUGCAUUUGUGACUGCAUGGCUAGAGUUUGGCAGAGGGGGGUAGAAUUCCACGUGUAGCAGUGAAAUGCGUAGAUAUGUGGAGGAAUACCGAUGGCGAAGGCAGCCCCCUGGGUCAAGACUGACGCUCAUGCACGAAAGCGUGGGGAGCAAACAGG